Molecule: non-coding RNA, 82 nt
Organism: Tephrocybe rancida
Lineage: Eukaryota; Fungi; Basidiomycota; Agaricomycetes; Agaricales; Lyophyllaceae
Source: the annotation of a GenBank genome assembly
GCCCUCUUAGCUCAGUGGUAGAGCGCGUCACUCGUAUGCUGAGUACAUGACGAGGUCAGUCGUUCAAGUCGGCUAGGGGGCA